Gasterosteus aculeatus aculeatus (three-spined stickleback) is the source of this 4105-nucleotide non-coding RNA. The record is from RefSeq and is a predicted model, not a curated record. NCBI's taxonomy places the organism in Eukaryota, Metazoa, Chordata, Actinopteri, Perciformes, Gasterosteidae.
UCAGCUCAGUGCAGCGUGAGACACUCAUCGUGGCCGAGAGAAGGGAAAGAUCCAAAGCGCGGCUACAUUUUACUCUCGCUGUCACAGAUGCAAUAAAAGCCCCACGAGGAGGGAAGGAAACAGCAGCAGCGCAUCACAACAUGUCAGGAGCUUUCCCUCCGUUUGGCAACAGACGUUGGCGAGUUUGCCAUUAAGAGUGGACUCCUCAACGGAAGCUAAGCUAAUUCUUUAGCUGUCUCUGCAUGUUGAUUCAUUUUCAAUGAAUGGGGGGGGUCUUGCAAAAUGCUGAAAACAAAGCGGUGAGAAGAUCGAUAAGGCACCAAACGGAAAAGCAGUAUGUGUAAUAGUAGCGAUUAAAAACCCUUAUGGCCAUUCAACGGAUGAAAUACCUAGUGGACGUGUUUUGAUGGAGUGCAUAUUUUGAACGCCUGGUUUCGGCCUCGUGGUUAACACUUGAGAUUUAUGGUCUUGUCACACGUCAUCAUGACCAGAAUAGAUCUCUCUCCACUGAUUGAGCUUGACUGACUGCUGAGCACAGCAGGCAGAAACUGCACACCUGAUUACAUCAAACUGGGCACAGAAAUCGCCACAGGAAGUAUGUCCGCUGAAAGGACCUGUCAAUUUAUCAAUAUUGACGUCCUUCCGCCAGAAACCAGUGUGUUCACUAGACCGUAGUCCAGUGUCUUGGCACCGUUGCCACGCUACAGUUUCUGUAGAUUACCUGAUGCACACGCCAUUUAUAAAUGGUGGACUGGUCACCAACCAGCUGGUAGAAACAAAGGGGGCAGUUACUAUGAAGGUGAAGCAGCAGAAAUCAACAGGAAGCAGUAAAAUCGUAACUUUUACUCCCAAUCCCAAUACACAUUUCCUACAUGCAAAGGACAGUCAUAUCUAACAUCUUGCUGCAGAAGCAUGCAUCAUAGUUAAUCAACCUUAAUCACCUGAUAUCAGGGUAUCAGAUACCUAUAUAAAGUAAGAUACAAUAAGGCUGGCUUAUGAUAAGGGUUUGCAAACAGCCAGUUUGAGAAUUCCUACCAUGCCUCUAACAAGUCUACUCCAACCUUGCUGUGCUUCACUUUAUUAGCAUCAGUCCGUGCCGGAGUACUGCGGUGUUGUGAUAAUGUUUGCCAAAGGCUUUGGCCUGCAACUGCAUCAAGACAAAGAUAUAUUCACUCAGUGUUUCGGGAAAAGGAAAUAUUUCAUGUGGGCUGUGUAUCCUUAAUCUACUGUCACUCAGUAACAUAUGCUAAUGCCUGCAGGAAUCUCAAAAGGUCAAAAUUAAUACAAUAUCAAAUUAUUAUAGUAUUGCAUAGUAACAGUUAUAGCAUUAUUUUAUUUUUAGAAUUAGUCACAUAACUGGUUGGCACCCAAAGUAACAGAACGCAUUACUUUCAAAACUGCUAAUGAGUCAUUUCCUUUUUUUAGAGCCAGAGAUGUGCAUGUGAAGUGAAGAGAGAGGCCCUGAGGUCACAUGCACGCUGCCGUGUACCCUGUGCAGCGUAGACUCUUGAUAUUUCACAGCUGCAUUCAUGAGAUCAUACAAAGACGGUGAAGAGAAUCGAGAAUCAUCUGAAGCAAGGCCAAGGAGAAAGGGAGGUUACAGCUCACUUGGCAUUUCAUGUUCAUUGUUUUUCAUUAUCUAUCUUUUUUUUUGCCGAAAAACUUAAGUUUCGUUAAGAAUUUUCCUUCAAAGAUUGAGAAUUCCCACUGUUGGGUUCACCUGCAUUCCAGAUAACAUUUGCAUGACUGCACCAUUAAUAAUUGUGUGCAAUAGAGACAUAGUGAAGCUGUCGAAACUCGCAGUACUUAACCCUUGUGCAUCGUUAAUCUUGCACAUGUGAUAUUUGACAACUCAUAAUUUAUGCUGCUAAAUCCACAACAAUUAUGUUAUCAAUGCAGUGUGUUUGUGCACAAUUAUGUUACCCCUGAAACUGAUUUUCUCGGUAUAAUAUUCACAAAUGAAAAGCACACACAUUGUAGGCUGUGUCUUUUAAGCUACUAUUAUUUAACCAUAUAUCAGAUGCAGAUACAUUUAAUGGUUGAGGUUUGUGUUUAAAUUCUUUGACAUGUAUGAGAAAUGCAUUCAGUUUACAAGCCAACAGGUUAACAUUUUUUCAAUAAAUCAGAAUAACAGGGCGGGAGAAAAGGCUUUAGUUGACAACUGACGGAUCACUCACUUUUAUUUAGUUACCCUAAAUGUCACAUGCCGUAAAAUGAAAAAAAUAAAUAAAAUAAAACCAUCAAAUAAUAUAUUAGCAGACAUUAGGCCCACAAAAAAGCAAUACAUUAGGAUUUAAUAAUUAGGACCUUUUGUAUGAAGCAGCAGGAAUCAAUAUACUCUUGAGGUAUAUUAACAACAACACUAACAAUGGAUGCAAUUCCAAAUGUGAAAGGGAGCAUCUAGCAGCUGAAGCACAUCAAUGUCCCUGAAGAGCUGGUGGGGACCAAAAGCGGAGCUAAAAGGAGAGUGAAAAUGGUACUUACACGACACAGAAGACUAAAUACACGCUUGCGUUGCUCCAUAUCGGCUCCAUGUCCAAGUAGGCCAAUGUUCCGCUAACACCGCGCUGUUCCGUUUACGGCUUGUUUCUGCUGCCCCCUAAUGGCCACUGACACUAAAUGCAGGGGAAAGAAAACACUUCUGGUUGAUUCUUCAUUGUUGUAUUUCUAGUUUCCUCAUCCACCACCUGCUCUAUGCCAAGGAGACGGAUUUACUAUCAGUGGAUAGGAAAGUGCUUUAGGAUUGUGUUACUCUUCCCCUCCGAAUCAAUCCAAAGUUGCUAUAAAGCUAUAAAUUAAACUGAUUUAGUCAAUUAUGAUAUGAGAAUAAUUAGUUCAUUAAUAAUGUUGAAUUAUUAUUAACUAAUAGAUAUUGAUAGUUAAUCAAUAUCAGAGUUCAAGAACUGAUCGUCAUUCAAGCUGCACACACUUGUUUGCAAGCUUUUUAUGCUUCAAGGACAUGACAGGAUUUUUAAUCGGAAAAUAAUUGUGCAGUCCUGAUUUUUCUUUACCCUCUCCCUCUCUGUCUCUUGGUCUUCGCAUUUCAUUUUUCAACAGCAAAUCCCCGCCAGCCUCAUCACCAUGGCAACCAGAAGCCGAAGAGACUAUCUAGCUUUGUGCCAUCGUAGCUUCUGCGCAACUUUGAUUGGGUGGGAAUGAUCUGCAUAGAGGCAGGAGAGCUUGAAUUGUGCUUUGCGCCAUAAAACGGGAUCCAACAAACCAAACUGACUUUCUGUUUGCUCUUAUCAGCUGGUGUUUCGUCUCAAGGGUUUAUAUAUGUCGAACCAGCCAAGUGGAGAGGGAUGUAGAUUGGGGCUGAGGAGAGAUCACAAGGUGCGAUCGAUCGUUUGUAGAGCCCGGGGAGAGAUGGGACGGGGUGGAUCUGGUGUAUGUUUAAGAAGAGAACUCUUCCCCGUCAGGGUUUCAAGAGACAAAGCGCUGUCUGCGGCACGGAGAGAUAAAAAGCAGCUGGUGCUUUAUUUAUCAGGAGGGAGGGAGGCCGCUGUGCGCCUGUCAAUCCAUCAAGACGGCUGUCAGCUUUCUUGUCUUUUUUUUCUGCUGCAGCGCUGGUGCUCAACAGGCAGGAAAUCCAGCCAUUAACAGGAUUUACUGAUGGCCAAUAGACUGCACUGAUCCAAACGACCUCCCUGUGUGGCCCUCUGUUCUCUGGGGACGGUCCUGUGGAAGAACUUCUCACGGGUCCUGCUUUGAGCCCCGUCUUGAAGGUGGAUCUCUAGUUCUCUUCUACUCUUCAUGUUAGUUUGCGCUGUGCUUGUGUGCUAAAGUGUUUUUGUGUUAAAAACGUUUUUAACUCAUUUGACUCACUGGCAGAUAUGCGGUUUAAAAAAAAAAGAAUUGAUCAGCAUGCUGAAACGUUUCUGAAUCACUUGUGAUGUAAGAUGUAACUAUACAUACAAAUACAGUAUAAAACCUGAUGCACUUCAGUGUUUCAUUUUGUCGAGACAAAAGAUAUAAAGCCAUUCUUGAAAUGUCCAUUAUGAUUUUUUUUUUAUUGUGAGAGAAAUGUGACUUGCCAUCACCCCGUAGGUGAGAAUGAAACAUAAAUAAAACACUUACAAAAUGUCACAAUAGAUCACAAAUGACA